Molecule: ribosomal RNA, 482 nt
Filed under: uncultured bacterium
Lineage: Bacteria
Description: partial 16S ribosomal RNA
Rfam family: Bacterial small subunit ribosomal RNA
Source: RNAcentral
AUUGAACGCUGGCGGCAUGCUUUACACAUGCAAGUCGAACGGUAACAGGCCGCAAGGUGCUGACGAGUGGCGAACGGGUGAGUAAUGCAUCGGAACGUGCCCAGUCGUGGGGGAUAACUACUCGAAAGAGUAGCUAAUACCGCAUACGAUCUAUGGAUGAAAGCGGGGGACCGUAAGGCCUCGCGCGAUUGGAGCGGCCGAUGUCAGAUUAGGUAGUUGGUGGGGUAAAGGCUCACCAAGCCAACGAUCUGUAGCUGGUCUGAGAGGACAACCAGCCACACUGGGACUGAGACACGGCCCAGACUCCUACGGGAGGCAGCAGUGGGGAAUGGUGGACAAUGGGCGCAAGCCUGAUCCAGCAAUGCCGCGUGCAGGAAGAAGGCCUUCGGGUUGUAAACUGCUUUUGUACGGAACGAAACGGCUCUGGUUAAUACCCGGGGCUAAUGACGGUACCGGAAGAAUAAGCACCGGCUAACUACGUG